RNAcentral lists this ribosomal RNA (901 nucleotides) under uncultured archaeon. RNAcentral describes it as "bacterial SSU rRNA". It matches the Rfam family "Archaeal small subunit ribosomal RNA", at positions 1 to 879 of the family's 1478-position model. The record is from RNAcentral.
UCCGGUUGAUCCUGCCGGACCCCACUGCUAUCGGGAUGGGACUAAGACAUGUUAGUCGAGCGUCUCCAAGCUAUGAUGGAGGCGCGGCAUACAGCUCAGUAACACGUGGCUAACCUGCCCUUGGGACAAGGACAACCCCGGGAAACUGAGGCUAAUCCUUGAUAGGUGAGAACUCCUGGAAUGGAUUCUUGCUCAAAAGAUGCUUUGAUCAUGCUUCUAGGCAUCGCCCAAGGAGGGGGCCGCGGCCGAUCAGGUUGUUGGUGAGGUAACGGCUCACCAAGCCUCUGACCGGUACGGGCCGUGAGAGCGGAAGCCCGGAGAUGGGCACUGAGACAAUGGCCCAGGCCCUACGGGGCGCAGCAGUCGCGAAAACUCCGCAAUACACGAAAGUGUGACGGGGCUAUCCCGAGUGCCAUCCGCUGAGGAUAGCUUUUCCCCAGUGUAUAAAGCUGGGAGAAUAAGGAGAGGGCAAGCCUGGUGUCAGCCGCCGCGGUAAUACCAGCUCUCCGAGUGGUGGGGAUGUUUAUUGGGCCUAAAGCAUUCGUAGCCUGCUAGCCAAGUCCUCCGUUAAAUCCACCGAUUCAAUCGUUGGGCUGCGGGGGAUACUGCUGGGCUAGGGGGCGGGAGAGGCCGACGGUAUCCUCGGGGUAGGGGUGAAAUCCUAUAAUCCCGGGUAGACCACCAGUGGCGAAGGCUGUCGGCUAGAACGCGCCCGACGGUGAGGGAUGAAAGCUGGGGGAGCGAACCGGAUUAGAUACCCGGGUAGUCCCAGCUGUAAACGAUGCAGGCUAGGUGUUGGAGCGGCUACGAGCCGCUUCGGUGCCGCAGGGAAACUGUUAAGCCUGCCGCCUGGGGAGUACGGUCGCAAGGCUGAAACUUAAAGGAAUUGGCGGGGGAGCAC